GACGAACGCUGGCGGCGUGCUUAACACAUGCAAGUCGAGCGACGAAACACCUUCGGGUGCGGAUUAGCGGCGAACGGGUGAGGAACACGUGAGGAAUCUGCCUUCCACUCUGGGAUAACUCCGGGAAACCGGGGCUAAUAACCGAUACUUUCAACCGGCGGCAUCGCCGGGUCAAGAGAGUUUUUCGGUGGAAGCUGACCGCGUGGCCUAUCAGCUUGUUGGUGAGGUAAAGGCUCACCAAGGCGACGACGGGUAGCCGGCCUGAGAGGGCGAACGGCCACGCUGGGACAGAGACACGGCCCAGACGCCUACGGGAGGCAGCAGUGGGGAAUAUUGGGCAAUGGAGGAAACUCUGACCCAGCGACGCCGCGUGAGGGAUGAAGGCUUUCGGGUUGUAAACCUCUUUCAGCAGGGAAUAAGCGAAAGUGAAGGUACCUGCAGAAGAAGCACCGGCUAACUAUGUGCCAGCAGCCGCAGUAA
RNAcentral lists this ribosomal RNA (480 nucleotides) under uncultured bacterium. Its description in RNAcentral is "partial 16S ribosomal RNA". It matches the Rfam family "Bacterial small subunit ribosomal RNA", at positions 28 to 523 of the family's 1533-position model. The record is from RNAcentral.